This 229-nucleotide ribosomal RNA is filed under the name uncultured bacterium. Its description in RNAcentral is "partial 16S ribosomal RNA". It matches the Rfam family "Bacterial small subunit ribosomal RNA", at positions 568 to 796 of the family's 1533-position model. The record is from RNAcentral.
UGCGUAGGCGGGCUAAUAAGUCAGUGGUGAAAUCUCUCGGCUCAACCGGGAAACUGCCAUUGAUACUGUUAGUCUUGAGUUCGGUUGAGGUAGGCGGAAUGUGUAAUGUAGCGGUGAAAUGCUUAGAUAUUACACAGAACACCAAUUGCGUAGGCAGCUUACUAGACCGAAACUGACGCUGAGGCACGAAAGCGUGGGUAGCGAACAGGAUUAGAUACCCUGGUAGUCC